GGUGGGGAGCAAACAGGAUUAGAUACCUGUAGUCACGCUGUAAACGAUGUCGAUUUGGAGGUUGUUCCGUGAGGAGUGGCUUCCGGAGCUAACGCGUUAAAUCGACCGCUGGGGAGUACGGCCGCAAGGUUAAAACUCAAAUGAAUUGACGGGGGCCCGCACAGCGGUGGAGCAUGUGGUUUAAUUCGAUGCAACGCGAAGAACCUUACCUACUCUUGACAUCCAGAGAAUUUAGCAGAGAUGCUUUAGUGCCUUCGGGAACUCUGAGACAGGUGCUGCAUGGCUGUCGUCAGCUCGUGUUGUGAAAUGUUGGGUUAAGUCCCGCAACGAGCGCAACCCUUAUCCUUUGUUGCCAGCACGUUAUGGUGGGAACUCAAAGGAGACUGCCGGUGAUAAACCGGAGGAAGGUGGGGAUGACGUCAAGUCAUCAUGGCCCUUACGAGUAGGGCUACACACGUGCUACAAUGGCGUAUACAAAGAGAAGCGACCUCGCGAGAGCAAGCGGAACUCAUAAAGUACGUCGUAGUCCGGAUUGGAGUCUGCAACUCGACUCCAUGAAGUCGGAAUCGCUAGUAAUCGUAGAUCAGAAUGCUACGGUGAAUACGUUCCCGGGCCUUGUACACACCGCCCGUCACACCAUGGGAGUGGGUUGCAAAAGAAGUAGGUAGCUUAACCUUCGGGAGGGCGCUUACCACUUUGUGAUUCAUGACUGGGGUGAAGUCGUAACAAGGUAACCA
RNAcentral lists this ribosomal RNA (737 nucleotides) under uncultured Providencia sp. RNAcentral describes it as "bacterial SSU rRNA". It matches the Rfam family "Bacterial small subunit ribosomal RNA", at positions 760 to 1502 of the family's 1533-position model. The record is from RNAcentral. Lineage: Bacteria; Pseudomonadati; Pseudomonadota; Gammaproteobacteria; Enterobacterales; Morganellaceae.